UAUCCUACGGGACGCAGCAGUGGGGGAUAUUGGACAAUGGGGGGAACCCUGAUCCAGCGACGCCGCGUGAGUGAAGAAGUAUUUCGGUAUGUAAAGCUCUGUCAGCAGGGAAGAAAGAAAUGACGGUACCUGACUAAGAAGCCCCGGCUAACUACGUGCCAGCAGCCGCGGUAAUACGUAGGGGGCAAGCGUUAUCCGAAUUUACUGGGUGUAAAGGGUGCGUAGGUGGCAGGGCAAGUCAGAUGUGAAAGCCCGGGGCCCAACCUCGGUACUGCAUUGGGAACUGCCCCGCUCGAGUGCCGGAG
Molecule: ribosomal RNA, 305 nt
Filed under: uncultured bacterium
Lineage: Bacteria
Description: bacterial SSU rRNA
Rfam family: Bacterial small subunit ribosomal RNA
Source: RNAcentral